UACGUAGGGUGCGAGCGUUAAUCGGAAUUACUGGGCGUAAAGCGUGCGCAGGCGGUUUUGUAAGCCAGAUGUGAAAUCCCCGGGCUUAACCUGGGAAUGGCAUUUGGGACUGCAAGGCUGGAGUUUGGCAGAGGAGACUGGAAUUCCUGGUGUAGCAGUGAAAUGCGUAGAUAUCGGGAGGAACACCUGCGGUGUAGACGGCUUACUGGACCGUGACUGACGCUGAGGCACGAAAGCGUGGGUAGCAAACAGG
This 253-nucleotide ribosomal RNA is filed under the name uncultured bacterium. RNAcentral describes it as "partial 16S ribosomal RNA". It matches the Rfam family "Bacterial small subunit ribosomal RNA", at positions 524 to 776 of the family's 1533-position model. The record is from RNAcentral.